Molecule: ribosomal RNA, 484 nt
Filed under: uncultured bacterium
Lineage: Bacteria
Description: partial 16S ribosomal RNA
Rfam family: Bacterial small subunit ribosomal RNA
Source: RNAcentral
AUUGAACGCUGGCGGCAGGCCUAACACAUGCAAGUCGAGCGGAUGAAGGGAGCUUGCUCCUGGAUUCAGCGGCGGACGGGUGAGUAAUGCCUAGGAAUCUGCCUGGUAGUGGGGGAUAACGUCCGGAAACGGGCGCUAAUACCGCAUACGUCCUGAGGGAGAAAGUGGGGGAUCUUCGGACCUCACGCUAUCAGAUGAGCCUAGGUCUGAUUAGCUAGGUGGUGGGGUAAAGGCCUACCAAGGCGACGAUCCGUAACUGGUAUGAGAGGAUGAUCAGUCACACUGGAACUGAGACACGGUCCAGACUCCUACGGUAGGCAGCAGUGGGGAAUAUUGGACAAUGGGCGAAUGCCUGAUCCAGCCAUGCCGCGUGUGUGAAGAAGGUCUUCUGAUUGUAGAGCACUUUAAGUAUGGAGGAAGGGCAGUAAGUUAAUACCUUGCUGUUUUGACGUUACCAACAGAAUAAGCACCGGCUAACUUCGUG